CCCGCCACUGCACCUGUGUCCAGGUUGUUGGCUGGUGCGGUCCAGUGGUGAGCUGAGAGGAAAAACCCAGCUUAGGAAACAGAGUUAUUCUGCCUGUGGGUGACUCUGUGCCGAAAGUUUGGGAACAUGA
RNAcentral lists this small nucleolar RNA (130 nucleotides) under Notamacropus eugenii (tammar wallaby). Its description in RNAcentral is "Small nucleolar RNA SNORA65 (ENSMEUG00000017054.1)". It matches the Rfam family "Small nucleolar RNA SNORA65". From Rfam's summary of the family: U65 belongs to the H/ACA class of snoRNAs which are thought to guide the sites of modification of uridines to pseudouridines. The record is from RNAcentral. Lineage: Eukaryota; Metazoa; Chordata; Mammalia; Diprotodontia; Macropodidae.